GUGUCAGCCGCCGCGGUAAUACGUAGGGGGCAAGCGUUGUCCGGAUUUAUUGGGCGUAAAGAGCGUGUAGGCGGCCUGACAGGUCUGCUGUGAAAACUCGAGGCUCAACCUCGAGAUGUCGGCGGAAACCGUCUGGCUAGAGUCCGGAAGAGGAGAGUGGAAUUCCUGGUGUAGCGGUGAAAUGCGCAGAUAUCAGGAAGAACACCUAUGGCGAAGGCAGCUCUCUGGGACGGUACUGACGCUGAGACGCGAAAGCGUGGGGAGCGAACAGGAUUAGAUACCCUUGUAGUCC
This 292-nucleotide ribosomal RNA is filed under the name uncultured bacterium. RNAcentral describes it as "partial 16S ribosomal RNA". It matches the Rfam family "Bacterial small subunit ribosomal RNA", at positions 505 to 796 of the family's 1533-position model. The record is from RNAcentral.